This is a non-coding RNA of Misgurnus anguillicaudatus (oriental weatherfish), 1991 nucleotides long. NCBI's taxonomy places the organism in Eukaryota, Metazoa, Chordata, Actinopteri, Cypriniformes, Cobitidae. The record is from RefSeq and is a predicted model, not a curated record.
UGCACUGUAAAAUGUAAUAGCUGAGCUUACUAAAAAGAUUAAGUAAACUUAACUUAUUUAAUUAAGUUUGUUAACCUUACUUAGUUUAACUAAGUAAUCCCAACUUUUUUCUAUGCAAACUCAAGUCAACUUGAUUAAACUUAACAGAUUAAUUUAGCUCAACUUAAAAUUUCAAGUAUUUUCAAAAAGGAUGACUGCACAGUAGGUGGCAGUAAUGCUCCCAAGGAGUAAGUGGUGGCUUAACUGAGUGGUUAACUGAAGAAGACGACAACAGCACAUGGUCGGAUAAGAGCAUGAGGAGGUAAGUUUGUGCUUAUAUAUCAUUUUUAUUUUUUAAUUGCUACGUUUUUAUCGCAAUAUUACAAUCACAGUUUGUAAACAGUAAUAUUUUGUCGGUAAUAAUAAAACUGAUGCAUGCUAUUUGAUCACAAUUAGCAAUCCAACAACUGCUAAUCAUGUAUGUUUAAAGAUAAACAUUUUCGUUCAACAGACAUAAGUAACUAAUAUGCAGAGGUAGAUUGAGUAAAAAUGUAAUUAUAUAAAAAGUUAGUUAAAGUUAAGCCUUAUAGUAAUAACUGCUUGAGUAAAAGUAUGCAAUGGAAAAACUGCUUAAGUAGUGAGUUUAAAAUUUGUGUUGGUGUGGUUUAUAAUAAUAAACUACAUGAAAAUGCUUAGAACUGCUUAUAAAAGGUAAAAUAGCACAUUUAAAGUAGGUGCUUUCAAAAUUGUUACUCAAGUCAAUGUAAUGCAGUAAGCAUGUUUCUACCCACCUCUGGAGAAAAAACAUUAAUAAAUUCAUACCUUAAAAUGCCAAGUUAUGUUAAAUAAGAGAUGUGCUGUAUAAAAAGUUUUAAGUUUAUAGAGUGAAUGCUAAAAAUGUUGUUUUUACAAUUGCUUUUUAGUAUCUAUCAAUCAAUAUACUAUGUUAAUUGUAUUAUUAUUUAGCAGGAGUUUGUUUCUUUGAAGAGAGCGCAGAUACCCUUCAUGGAAAGUCAGUAACGUUACUGUGGAGUACAACCAAGUCGCAAGCAAAAACCUCAGGCAAGAAUUGUUCUCAUCCCUUGCUAAACAUUGUUUUUGAAGAUUUUGAAUUAAACAAAAGUUUAAAAGCUCUCUUGAGUAUCUAAUAAACAUCACUGAUGUCACUGCUCGGUGGACGGUAGUUCUCCGUGGUCUUGCUAUCCUUCUUGCGGAAGACACUACAGACUUCCUGAAAACAAACAUGGACUGUGAUGGUGACCCACCUCAACUAUCAAUAGGAAUUCUCAGUCUGGUGCCGGAGGACAGACAUUUCUCCACAUGGUUUACAGCAAUUAUUUGGUAGGGUGUCACAGCCAUGGAUGGACUUGAGAAAGUAUCACAUGCCAUGUGUUUAGCUUUUGGACUGAUCGUUGUUUUAAAUAUGGAGUACCUCUUCACAGCUUAUUUUGAGUUGAUUCACAGGGUUUUUCUUUCCCUGGGGCACAAAUCACUAAAGUCAAAACUGCCAUCACUACAAAACAUACUAAUGUGAAGUAGUGUGUUUUGUGUGAAACAAGUCUGUGUUACUUUAGAUCUGUUGCAUUUUGGGGUUUUUAUUUUUCGUCAACCUGGAUACAAGUUCCAGAAAAACUCAACUUUAAUUGCUGCAAAACUUUGAUGUUUUAGUUAAGCUGUAUUUUGCGUGUUUCUGAUGGCAGAAACAAGAUUGUUACUGUAGGUCUGUUGAUGCAAUUUGUGAUUUUUUAUCAGUCACAUGACAACCUGGAUACAAAACCAAAACUGCAGUCACUAAAAAAAACUAGUUUUGAAUUUGUUUGUCAAGGUGUGUUCAUUGUGUUUGUAAUAACAGAAACAAGAAUGUCUUAGGUCUAUUGUUGCAUUUUGGGUAUCCAGAUUGAUGGGUGACUGAACACAAACCCCUUUCUUGUGAGUGUGUGUGUGUGUGUGUGUGUGUGUGUGUGUGUGUGUGUGUGUGUGUGUGUGUGUGUGUGUGUGUGUGUGUGUGUGUG